Molecule: ribosomal RNA, 426 nt
Filed under: uncultured bacterium
Lineage: Bacteria
Description: bacterial SSU rRNA
Rfam family: Bacterial small subunit ribosomal RNA
Source: RNAcentral
UACGCUGGCGGCACGCCUAACACAUGCAAGUCGAACGAAGUAGCAAUACUUAGUGGCAGACGGGUGAGUAACAUGUAGGUAUCUGCCCUUUGGCCUGGAAUAACACGAGGAAACUUGUGCUAAUACCGGAUAAGUCUUUACGGAGAAAGCUUUAUGCACCAUUGGAUGAGCCUGCACUUGAUUAGUUUGUUGGUAGGGUAAUGGCCUACCAAGACUGUGAUCAAUAGCUGAUUUGAGAGGAUGAUCAGCCACAUUGGGACUGAGACACGGCCCAAACUCCUACGGGAGGCAGCAGUGGGGAAUCUUGCACAAUGGAGGAAACUCUGAUGCAGCGAUGCCGCGUGAGUGAAGAAGGCCUUUGGGUUGUAAAGCUCUUUCGUCGGGGAAGAAAAUGACUGUACCCGAAUAAGAAGGUCCGGCUAACUU